This 87-nucleotide transfer RNA is filed under the name Bipolaris zeicola 26-R-13. It matches the Rfam family "tRNA". Rfam says of the family: Transfer RNA (tRNA) molecules are approximately 80 nucleotides in length. The record is from Rfam by way of RNAcentral. Lineage: Eukaryota; Fungi; Ascomycota; Dothideomycetes; Pleosporales; Pleosporaceae.
GGGCGCUUGGUCUAGGGGUAUGAUUUUCGCUUCGCAUAUUCCAUGCGUACUUGUGAAAGGUCGUGGGUUCAAUUCCCACAGCGUCCA